Molecule: ribosomal RNA, 497 nt
Filed under: uncultured bacterium
Lineage: Bacteria
Description: partial 16S ribosomal RNA
Rfam family: Bacterial small subunit ribosomal RNA
Source: RNAcentral
GAUGAACGCUGGCGGCGUGCCUAAUACAUGCAAGUCGAGCGAACAGACGAGGAGCUUGCUCCUCUGACGUUAGCGGCGGACGGGUGAGUAACACGUGGAUAACCUACCUAUAAGACUGGGAUAUCUUCGGGAAACCGGAGCUAAUACCGGAUAAUAUAUUGAACCGCAUGGUUCAAUAGUGAAAGACGGUUUUGCUGUCACUUAUAGAUGGAUCCGCGCCGCAUUAGCUAGUUGGUAAGGUAACGGCUUACCAAGGCGACGAUGCGUAGCCGACCUGAGGGGGUGAUCGGCCACACUGGAACUGAGACACGGUCCAGACUCCUACGGGAGGCAGCAGUAGGGAAUCUUCCGCAAUGGGCGAAAGCCUGACGGAGCAACGCCGCGUGAGUGAUGAAGGUCUUCGGAUCGUAAAACUCUGUUAUUAGGGAAGAACAAAUGUGUAAGUAACUAUGCACGUCUUGACGGUACCUAAUCAGAAAGCCACGGCUAACUACGUG